GACGAACGCUGGCGGCGUGCUUAACACAUGCAAGUCGAACGGUGAAGCGCCUUCCUUUUUGGUGGGUGUGGAUGAGUGGCGAACGGGUGAGUAACACGUGAGUAACCUGCCCCCUUCUUCUGGAUAACCGCAUGAAAGUGUGGCUAAUACGGGAUAUUCUGGGUCUGUCGCAUGAUGGGUCUGGGAAAGAUAUUGUUUCGGUGGGGGAUGGGCUCGCGGCCUAUCAGCUUGUUGGUGGGGUGAUGGCCUACCAAGGCGGUGUCGGGUAGCCGGCCUGAGAGGGUGGACGGUCACACUGGGACUGAGACACGGCCCAGACUCCUACGGGAGGCAGCAGUGGGGAAUAUUGCACAAUGGGCGCAAGCCUGAUGCAGCGACGCCGCGUGAGGGAUGGAGGCCUUCGGGUUGUGAACCUCUUUCGCCAGUGAAGCAGGCCUGCCUCGUUUGUGGGUGGGUUGACGGUAGCUGGAUAAGAAGCGCCGGCUAACUACGUG
RNAcentral lists this ribosomal RNA (494 nucleotides) under uncultured bacterium. RNAcentral describes it as "partial 16S ribosomal RNA". It matches the Rfam family "Bacterial small subunit ribosomal RNA", at positions 28 to 507 of the family's 1533-position model. The record is from RNAcentral.